This 497-nucleotide ribosomal RNA is filed under the name uncultured bacterium. RNAcentral's name for it is "partial 16S ribosomal RNA". It matches the Rfam family "Bacterial small subunit ribosomal RNA", at positions 28 to 507 of the family's 1533-position model. The record is from RNAcentral.
GAUGAACGCUGGCGGCGUGCCUAAUACAUGCAAGUCGAGCGAACGGACGAGAAGCUUGCUUUUCUGAUGUUAGCGGCGGACGGGUGAGUAACACGUGGAUAACCUACCUAUAAGACUGGGAUAACUUCGGGAAACCGGAGCUAAUACCGGAUAAUAUUUUGAACCGCAUGGUUCAAAAGUGAAAGACGGUCUUGCUGUCACUUAUAGAUGGAUCCGCUCUGCAUUAGCUAGUUGGUGAGGUAACGGCUUACCAAGGCAACGAUGCAUAGCCGACCUGAGAGGGUGAUCGGCCACACUGGAACUGAGACACGGUCCAGACUCCUACGGGAGGCAGCAGUAGGGAAUCUUCCGCAAUGGGCGAAAGCCUGACGGAGCAACGCCGCGUGAGUGAUGAAGGUCUUCGGAUCGUAAAACUCUGUUAUUAGGGAAGAACAUAUGUGUAAGUAACUGUGCACAUCUUGACGGUACCUAAUCAGAAAGCCACGGCUAACUACGUG